AAGUCGUAACAAGGUUUCCGUAGGUGAACCUGCGGAAGGAUCAUUACCUAGAGUUGUAGGCUUUGCCUGCUAUCUCUUACCCAUGUCUUUUAAGUACCUUCGUUUCCUCGGCGGGCUCGCCCGCCGAUUGGACAAUUUAAACCAUUUGCAGUUGCAAUCAGCGUCUGAAAAAACUUAAUAGUUACAACUUUCAACAACGGAUCUCUUGGUUCUG
Molecule: unclassified non-coding RNA, 214 nt
Filed under: Didymella sp.
Lineage: Eukaryota; Fungi; Ascomycota; Dothideomycetes; Pleosporales; Didymellaceae
Description: partial internal transcribed spacer region
Rfam family: Eukaryotic small subunit ribosomal RNA (bases 1-46)
Source: RNAcentral